AGCAGCCGCGGUAAUUCCAGCUCCAAUAGCGUAUAUUAAAGUUGUUGCAAUUAAAAAGCUCGUAGUUGAAUUUCGGGAUCAAUUAGUCGGUCGUGCCUCUGGUACGUACUGGUUUUAUUGGUUCCUCCCUUCUGACGAAACAUGAUGUCAUUAAUUUGGUGUCGUGGAGAAUCAGGACUGUUACCUUGAAAAAAUUAGAGUGUUUAUAGCAGGCUAACGCUUGAAUACAUUAGCAUGGAAUAAUGAAAUAGGACGUUCGACCCUAUUUUGUUGGUUUCUAGGAUCGACGUAAUGAUUAAUAGGGAUAGUUGGGGGCAUUAGUAUUCAAUUGUCAGAGGUGAAAUUCUUGGAUUUAUUGAAGACUAACUACUGCGAAAGCAUUUGCCAAGGAUGUUUUCAUUAAUCAAGAACGAAAGUUAGGGGAUCGAAGACGAUCAGAUACCGUCGUAGUCUUAACCAUAAACUAUGCCGACUAGGGAUCGGAUGAUGUUAAUUUUUUAAUGACUCAUUCGGCGCCUUA
Molecule: ribosomal RNA, 520 nt
Filed under: uncultured Glomus
Lineage: Eukaryota; Fungi; Glomeromycota; Glomeromycetes; Glomerales; Glomeraceae
Description: SSU rRNA
Rfam family: Eukaryotic small subunit ribosomal RNA
Source: RNAcentral